GCCGGUGUGAUGGAAUUGGUAGACGUGACGGACUCAAAAUCCGUUGGUAGCGAUACCGUGUGGGUUCGAGUCCCACCACCGGCA
Oscillibacter sp. CAG:155 is the source of this 84-nucleotide transfer RNA. It matches the Rfam family "tRNA". Rfam says of the family: Transfer RNA (tRNA) molecules are approximately 80 nucleotides in length. Their secondary structure includes four short double-helical elements and three loops (D, anti-codon, and T loops). Further hydrogen bonds mediate the characteristic L-shaped molecular structure. tRNAs have two regions of fundamental functional importance: the anti-codon, which is responsible for specific mRNA codon recognition, and the 3' end, to which the tRNAs corresponding amino acid is attached (by aminoacyl-tRNA synthetases). tRNAs cope with the degeneracy of the genetic code in two manners: having more than one tRNA (with a specific anti-codon) for a particular amino acid; and 'wobble' base-pairing, i.e. permitting non-standard base-pairing at the 3rd anti-codon position. The record is from Rfam. Lineage: Bacteria; Bacillati; Bacillota; Clostridia; Eubacteriales; Oscillospiraceae.